This 253-nucleotide ribosomal RNA is filed under the name uncultured bacterium. Its description in RNAcentral is "partial 16S ribosomal RNA". It matches the Rfam family "Bacterial small subunit ribosomal RNA", at positions 524 to 776 of the family's 1533-position model. The record is from RNAcentral.
UACAGAGGGUGCGAGCGUUGUCCGGAAUCACUGGGCGUAAAGGGCGCGUAGGCGGUGCGGUAAGUCACCUGUGAAAUCUCCUGGCUCAACUGGGAGCUUGCAGGCGAAACUGCCGUGCUGGAGUGUGGGAGAGGUGCGUGGAAUUCCUGGUGUAGCGGUGAAAUGCGUAGAUAUCAGGAGGAACACCUGUGGCGAAAGCGGCGCACUGGACCACAACUGACGCUGAGGCGCGAAAGCUAGGGGAGCAAACAGG